RNAcentral lists this ribosomal RNA (253 nucleotides) under uncultured bacterium. Its description in RNAcentral is "partial 16S ribosomal RNA". It matches the Rfam family "Bacterial small subunit ribosomal RNA", at positions 524 to 776 of the family's 1533-position model. The record is from RNAcentral.
UACGUAGGGUGCAGGCGUUAAUCGGAAUUACUGGGCGUAAAGCGUGCGCAGGCGGCUUCCUAAGUCAGAUGUGAAAUCCCCGGGCUCAACCUGGGAACUGCGUUUGAAACUGGGAGGCUAGAGUGCGGCAGAGGGGGGUGGAAUUCCACGUGUAGCAGUGAAAUGCGUAGAUAUGCGGAGGAACACCGAUGGCGAAGGCAAUCCCCUGGACCUGUACUGACGCUCAUGCACGAAAGCGUGGGGAGCAAACAGG